AUGGUUAAGCUAAGAAGAGCGUAGGGAGAAUGCCUUGGCAUUAGGAGCCGAUGAAGGACGUGAUAAGCUGCGAUAAGCUGCGGGGAUCAGCAAGUAUGAAUUGAUCCGCAGAUUUCCGAAUGGAGCAAUCCGUAUGUGUAUGCACAUACAUCAUAUACUGAAUCAAAUAGGUAUAUGAGGGGAACCGCCUGAACUGAAACAUCUAAGUAGGGCGAGGAAGAGAAAUCAACCGAGAUUCUGUGAGUAGUGGCGAGCGAAAGCGGAAGAGGCUAAACCAUAGGUAGCAAUACUUAUGGGGUUUCGGACAGCAUUUAGUAUUGAUAAUUUCUAGUUGAAACGUGUGGGAAAACGUACCGAAGAGUGUGAGAGUCACGUAAGCGAAAGAGAGAAUCAGCGAGCUGUAUCCAAAGUACCGCGGGACACGUGAAACCCCGUGGGAAGAUGGGGGGACCAUCCUCCAAGCCUAAAUACUACCUAAUGACCGAUAGCGAAUAGUACUGUGAAGGAACGGUGAAAAGAACCCCGGGAGGGGAGUGAAAAAGAACCUGAAACCCUAUGCUUACAAGCACCGAGAGCACGUCAAAGUGUGAUCGGGUACCUUUUGUAGAAUGGUCCGGCGAGUUAUUGUAUGCGGCAAGGUUAAGUGCUUAAGGCACGGAGCCGAAGCGAGAGCAAGUCUGAAUAGGGCGAAAGAGUCGUAUGCAAUAGACCCGAAACCGAGUGACCUAUCCAUGUCCAGGCUGAAGUGGAGGUAAAACUCCAUGGAGGGCCGAACACACGUCCGUUGAAAAGGCCGGUGAUGAGGUGUGGAUAGCGGAGAAAUUCCAAUCGAACUCGGAUAUAGCUGGUUCUCUCCGAAAUAGCUUUAGGGCUAGCCUCGUGAAAGAUUACUGGAGGUAAAGCACUGAAUGGGCUAGGGGUCGAAAGAUUACUGAACCCUAUCAAACUAAGAAUGCCAGAUAAUUGAUUCACGGGAGUCAGACAAUGUGAGAUAAGUCUCAUUGUCAAAAGGGAAACAGCCCAGACCCACAGCUAAGGUCCCUAAACAUUGUUAAGUGGAAAAGGAUGUGGGGUUGCAUAAACAACCAGGAUGUUGGCUUAGAAGCAGCCACUCAUUAAAAGAGUGCGUAAUAGCUCACUGGUCGAGUGACCCUGCGCCGAAAAUUCAACGGGGCUAAACAAUGUACCGAAGCUUGGGAUUCUAAAGUAAUUUAGAGUGGUAGGAGAGCGUCGAAUAAGGGGUGAAGUCAGAGCGGAAGCGCUGGUGGACUUUAUUCGAGUGAGAAUGCCGGAAUGAGUAGCGAGAAUUAUGUGAGAAUCAUAAUGGCCGAAAAUCUAAGGUUUCCUGAGGAAGGUUCGUCCGCUCAGGGUAAGCCGGGGGCUAAGGCGAGGCGAAGACGCAUAGCCGAUGCACAUACGGUUGAAAUUCCGUAGCCACCGAAAGAUUUAAGUACAGGGACGCUUUAGAAGUGAUGUUGCCGGGCGAUGGUUGACCCGGUCGUAAGGGAUCGAAAAUGAGUAGAGAAGUCAUCAUGGAAAGAGACAAGAAAAGCUGUAUGAAUAUCUUAGGUGCCCGUACCGCAAACCGACACAGGUAGAUAGGAAGAAGAUUCUAAGGCCAACGGGAGAAGGGUUGUUAAGGAACUCGGCAAGUUGACCCCGUAACUUAGGGAUAAGGGGUGCUCAAGUGAUUGAGCCGCAGAGAAUAGGCCCAGGCGACUGUUUAGCAAAAACACAGGUCUCUGCUAAAUCGAAAGAUGACGUAUAGGGGCUGACACCUGCCCGGUGCCGGAAGGUUAAGAGGAGAUGUGAGAGCAUUGAAUUGAAGCCCCGGUAAACGGCGGCCGUAACUAUAACGGUCCUAAGGUAGCGAAAUUCCUUGUCAGGUAAGUUCUGACCCGCACGAAAGGUGUAACGAUCUGGGCACUGUCUCAACAACCCGCCCGGCGAAAUUGUAGUACCGGUGAAGAUGCCGGUUACCCGCGACUAGACGGAAAGACCC
This 2002-nucleotide ribosomal RNA is filed under the name Ruminococcus sp. KGMB03662. RNAcentral describes it as "partial 23S ribosomal RNA". It matches the Rfam family "Bacterial large subunit ribosomal RNA", at positions 1 to 2091 of the family's 2925-position model. Lineage: Bacteria; Bacillati; Bacillota; Clostridia; Eubacteriales; Oscillospiraceae. The record is from RNAcentral.